UGGGGAAUUUUGGGCAAUGGCCGCAAGGCUGACCCAGCAACGCCGCGUGAGCGAUGAAGUCCUUCGGGAUGUAAAGCUCGGAAGCCAGGGAAGAAAAGGCCGGGGCCAAUACCCCCGGCCGCUGACGGUACCUGGUCUAAGCCCCGGCUAACUACGUGCCAGCAGCCGCGGUAAUACGUAGGGGGCAAGCGUUGUUCGGAAUUACUGGGCGUAAAGCGCGCGUAGGCGGCGCGGUCAGUCGGGUGUGAAAGCCCCGGGCUCAACCCGGGAACGGCACUCGAUACUGCCGGGCUGGAGUACGGAAGAGGCGGUCGGAAUUCCCAGUGUAGCGGUGAAAUGCGUAGAUAUUGGGAGGAACACCGGGUGCGAAGGCGGGCCGCUGGGCCGAUACUGACGCUGAGGCGCGAAAGCCAGGGGAGCGAACGGG
RNAcentral lists this ribosomal RNA (427 nucleotides) under uncultured bacterium. Its description in RNAcentral is "bacterial SSU rRNA". It matches the Rfam family "Bacterial small subunit ribosomal RNA", at positions 355 to 776 of the family's 1533-position model. The record is from RNAcentral.